GCUAAACGCGAAGAACCUUACCAGGGUUUGACAUGGAUCUGCAGAGCCGUGAAAGCGGUUGGCCUUCGAGGGUGAUCCACAGGUGCUGCAUGGCUGUCGUCAGCUCGUGUCGUGAGAUGUUGGGUUAAGUCCCGCAACGAGCGCAACCCUUGUGUCCAGUUGUGAUUUUCUGGACAGACUGCCGGGAGCAAACCGGAGGAAGGUAGGGAUGAUGUCAAGUCCGCAUGGCCCUUAUGUCCUGGGCGAGAAGCACGCUACAAUGGGUACGACAAUAGGUUGCCAAGCGGUAACGUGGAGCUAAUCCCGGCAAACGUACUCUCAGUUCGGAUCGUGGGCUGCAACUCGCCCACGUGAAGGUGGAGUCGCUAGUAACCGCAGGUCAGCAGUACUGCGGUGAAUAUGUUCCCGGGUCUUGUACACACCG
RNAcentral lists this ribosomal RNA (424 nucleotides) under uncultured bacterium. RNAcentral's name for it is "bacterial SSU rRNA". It matches the Rfam family "Bacterial small subunit ribosomal RNA", at positions 954 to 1392 of the family's 1533-position model. The record is from RNAcentral.